RNAcentral lists this unclassified non-coding RNA (210 nucleotides) under Hevea brasiliensis (rubber tree). Lineage: Eukaryota; Viridiplantae; Streptophyta; Magnoliopsida; Malpighiales; Euphorbiaceae. The record is from RNAcentral.
GGAAAAAAUCAUCUGACUCAUCGGUGAACGAUCAAGUAGCUAAAUCAGGGAGCUAAUUGAUGGAUCCAAGCUUAUAUCACUGCCAUGUUUGCAGAAUGCAGCACUAGGAAACAUAUGUACAUCUGAAUGUACACACUUGGAACCAAGACUUGUCAUUCUUUUAAUAUCAGAAGCAGUGAAUAAAUAGUAAUUUGACCUGUAAGUGCUGAC